GAUGAACGCUGGCGGCGUGCCUAAUACAUGCAAGUCGAGCGAACGGACGAGAAGCUUGCUUCUCUGAUGUUAGCGGCGGACGGGUGAGUAACACGUGGAUAACCUACCUAUAAGACUGGGAUAACUUCGUGAAACCGUAGCUAAUACCGGAUAAUAUUUUGAACCGCAUGGUUCGAAAGUGAAAGACGGUCUUGCUGUCACUUAUAGAUGGAUCCGCGCUGCAUUAGCUAGUUGGUAAGGUAACGGCUUACCAAGGCAACGAUGCAUAGCCGACCUGAGAGGGUGAUCGGCCACACUGGAACUGAGACACGGUCCAGACUCCUACGGGAGGCAGCAGUAGGGAAUCUUCCGCAAUGGGCGAAAGCCUGACGGAGCAACGCCGCGUGAGUGAUGAAGGUCUUCGGAUCGUAAAACUCUGUUAUUAGGGAAGAACAUAUGUGUAAGUAACUGUGCACAUCUUGACGGUACCUAAUCAGAAAGCCACGGCUAACUACGUG
RNAcentral lists this ribosomal RNA (497 nucleotides) under uncultured bacterium. RNAcentral describes it as "partial 16S ribosomal RNA". It matches the Rfam family "Bacterial small subunit ribosomal RNA", at positions 28 to 507 of the family's 1533-position model. The record is from RNAcentral.